ACGGGGUGCAGCAGGCGCGAAAACUUGGCAAUGCGAGAAAUCGUGACCAGGGAACUCCAAGUGCGUAGGGUAAGACCUACGCUUUUCUUGACUCUUCAAAGGUCUUGGAAUAAGGGGUGGGUAAGGACGGUGCCAGCCGCCGCGGUAAUACCGGCGCCUCAAGUGGUAGUCGCUUUUAUUGGGCCUAAAACGUCCGUAGCCGGUCUGGUGCAUUCGUGGGUAAAUCAACCCGCUCAACGGGUUGAAUUCUGCGAGCACGGCCAGACUUGGGACCGGGAGAGGUGUGGGGUACUCUCAGGGUAGGGGUAAAAUCCUGUCAUCCUGAGAGGACCACCUGUUGCGAAGGCGCCACACUAGAACGGAUCCGACGGUCAGGGACGAAACCUAGGGGCACGAACCGGAUUAGAUACCCGGGUAGUCCUAGGUGUAAACGCUGUGGACUUGAUGUUGGGGGCGCUCCGAGCGCUCUCAGUGUCGAAGCGAAGGUGAUAAGUCCACUGCCUGGGGAGUACGGUCGCAAGGCUGAAACUUAA
Molecule: ribosomal RNA, 533 nt
Filed under: uncultured archaeon
Lineage: Archaea
Description: bacterial SSU rRNA
Rfam family: Archaeal small subunit ribosomal RNA
Source: RNAcentral